UUACGAAUGCUCCUCAGGCAUUUCAAGACAGUCUGUGGCAACAAGAGGAAGUAUAAACGAAUAGGAGUUAGCUAACACAGUUUAGAUUUUGUACAUUUUCCAUCAUUAAACCUUGAGUGUUGUUGAGUUUCAAUCUCAGAGUUUUUACGCUUUCCUCAUCGUCCACCAAUCACGUAAUGCAGGUGUUUGAAAUAGCAACACGAAACGGGAAAGCCUACCCAAUCUGACCUAACUCACACUAACCUCGAUUCUCGUAUCAUCUAUCGGCAGAUUUCAUCCUAUCACAGUUCAGUAUAUAGGCAGAAAUGGAAAUAUUGCCAGCCUAUGAACCUAGUAACCUAAUUAUUCCGGACAGACAACAACAGAGAUAAGAAAUAAAAGAAAGUGCCUGUUGGAACUCGCUAUAAACCACCACGGUUGUGCCCCCGCGCAUGAUUCAAGCCAUGGUAUCUCUUUUAAGUAACAAACGAAAAUAUCUAUAUCUCAAAAGCGGAUGAUCUUUCAACCUGUAUUUACUAAAGUUUUUUUACUAAUUGUCAGUACAGAAUGUCCUUAUAUACCAUAUAAAUAUUGAAUGCUUUUUUUAAACACCAUAUAUACAUACGCAUAGAAACAAUCAAUACGAAUUCAAAUGUUUCGCUAUAUUAGGAGUGGGAACUAUUUAGUUAGGCAUCAAACUCACAAGAGGGUACUGAAAACUACAUUCGCAAAAAGCGACUUCCACUCUAUUUGAUGGAGUCAGAUGAAGCAAGAUGGAGUCGGAUGAACGUUGACAAAUGUUGACGAAUACCGCAGGUACGGAUAGUUUACAAGUUUACAGUUUACAGGUUUACAGUAUAAACUUUAUGCGAAUGCUCGCCGCGCUGCUAUCUUUAGCCAUUGCUGAAAUAGUCCACGUGCCUUUGACCACUUGUCCUGUUUGGAUUUUUGUACAGUCCAAUUCAUCGAUUUGAAUUACAAUCGCAAGCAAUGUUAAUUACACACGACACAUGUGUGUACAAAAUGUUUCCCGCAAGAUGACGUAAUUCAUUUUUCUGUGUAAGAAGAUUUCUAUAUAGAACAAUAAUUUUAAAUACACUAAUCGAUUCAGUUCGCUAAUCUGAGCCAAAAAGUAUUAGACCAUACAAGACAAGAAAUUAUUAGUUUACGAGCUAUUUAAGUGCGAACAAUGCAACUUAACGCUUCAAAAGUUUUGCCAAUUCGCAAGAUGGAAAUGUAUCCUAGUACGAUGUCUCCUUUUGGGUUUGCAAGGUGGCCUACACGUUUGUUGGUAAGCGCCCGUGCCACAGAAAUCUGCAGGAGUGAUUCCGAAAUGCAGCUGCUCAACGAAGUUCCGCAGAUGUCGAAAGAAUUGCAACGGCGGUCAGAGAAUCACUGGGCGACAGAGUUUUUCGCGCUCUUAGUGAAGUAAUAUACAAUAGACUAUAAACACAAGGGAUACAAGAAGUGAAGCAUAGUUAUGGUGAAGAGAAUCACAAUGCAUGCUACGGUUGAGAUAAAUACGUAUAUAUGUAUAUUGAUCUUCGCACAUCUUUCGUUGGUGUGGAAUUCGAACGCAGAGCCGUCCCUAGAGAUUACGGAGCCCUGAGUAAGCUGUGCCCUUACAAAAAUACAUAUAUGUACCUAGCACUAAAAAUAUCUAACAAUAUGUGCAAGACCUGUGGCAAAAGCGCGAGUUGGGGCAAGUGCCAAGUUUGCCUGGUGCUAUGGACAGUUCUCUUCAAUUAGGUAUUUGAUAUGCAGCACAACAUGAUGAUUUCGAUUGUCUAAAGGCAUUAGUGAAUAAAGGUGUUUCAGUGCAUGAAGAAAAUUCUGCUGCCAAUAUUCUGCUUAGUGUGGUAAUACAAAGUCACAUCAAUGUUGAUCAGAUUUUAUUAUAAUUUUAUGCGAACGCUAAUUUAAGAGGUGCAUAUGAAAGGUUCACUAAUUAAAAGGAAGAUUCAACGGGAGAGGAAAGGAAGCAGAAACGUACAAACUCAACGGAAAUUUAACGAAAAAAUAUUAAAAAUUGUAAAGGCAUUCGAUCCGACCCCGUAUUCAUCUCUCUCGAUAGUGUUACGGCCCAGAGGGACCCCUUGAUCUCAACAACUGGGACUCAAAUGGAUAUAUUUAUAAUAAUCUUCGUUCAUUAUGAAGAAUAUAAUAAACUAACCAUUUUAUUUUAAUUUUAGUUUAACAUUUUAUUAUCGACCAUCAAUAAACUUUCAAUUUUUCUGGAAAUUAUGCCGCAGGAAAUGUAUGCAAGUAGGCUCGAAACUAAAAGUUAAUCAGGAUAAAAAUAUAUUAAAUUCAAGUUGAAUUAGCCACAUUCAGACGUAAUAUAAAAAGUUGGUAAAAAUUAUUGAUAAAAUUUUAAUAGCUAAAAUAAAAUAUAAAUAAUCGGCGAUGAAUGCAUACAUAAGGAGCAAAUUAAACCUCGACCUAUCAUUUUAUACUAUUGUAUCAAUAAUUUAUCGAAAAUAAAAAGAAAUCAACUAUCAA
Molecule: non-coding RNA, 2481 nt
Organism: Megalopta genalis
Lineage: Eukaryota; Metazoa; Arthropoda; Insecta; Hymenoptera; Halictidae
Source: RefSeq, a predicted model, not a curated record